RNAcentral lists this small nucleolar RNA (129 nucleotides) under Chinchilla lanigera (long-tailed chinchilla). RNAcentral describes it as "Small nucleolar RNA SNORA33 (ENSCLAG00000018640.1)". It matches the Rfam family "Small nucleolar RNA SNORA33". Rfam says of the family: ACA33 is a member of the H/ACA class of snoRNA that guide the sites of modification of uridines to pseudouridines. The record is from Rfam by way of RNAcentral. Lineage: Eukaryota; Metazoa; Chordata; Mammalia; Rodentia; Chinchillidae.
AAGCCAGCUAUGGAAUCUGCUUAUCUGUAUGUGUUUCUGCAGAAAUGUAGAAAAAGCUGGCAAUGGUAAAGCCAACAUUAUGAGCCUUAAAGAUAUCAGUUAUUAAGGUCCCUGUAAAUGCCUACAUAU